GAAAGGCCAAUCAAACCGGGAGAUAGCUGGUUCUCCCCGAAAGCUAUUUAGGUAGCGCCUCGUGAAUUCAUCUCCGGGGGUAGAGCACUGUUUCGGCUAGGGGGCCAUCCCGGCUUACCAACCCGAUGCAAACUGCGAAUACCGGAGAAUGUUAUCACGGGAGACACACGGCGGGUGCUAACGUCCGUCGUGAAGAGGGAAACAACCCAGACCGCCAGCUAAGGUCCCAAAGUCAUGGUUAAGUGGGAAACGAUGUGGGAAGGCCCAGACAGCCAGGAUGUUGGCUUAGAAGCAGCCAUCAUUUAAAGAAAGCGUAAUAGCUCACUGGUCGAGUCGGCCUGCGCGGAAGAUGUAACGGGGCUAAACCAUGCACCGAAGCUGCGGCAGCGACACUGUGUGUUGUUGGGUAGGGGAGCGUUCUGUAAGCCUGUGAAGGUGUGUCGUGAGGCAUGCUGGAGGUAUCAGAAGUGCGAAUGCUGACAUAAGUAACGAUAAAGCGGGUGAAAAGCCCGCUCGCCGGAAGACCAAGGGUUCCUGUCCAACGUUAAUCGGGGCAGGGUGAGUCGACCCCUAAGGCGAGGCCGAAAGGCGUAGUCGAUGGGAAACGGGUUAAUAUUCCCGUACUUGGUGUUACUGCGAAGGGGGGACGGAGAAGGCUAUGUUGGCCGGGCGACGGUUGUCCCGGUUUAAGCGUGUAGGUGUGUGUUCCAGGUAAAUCCGGUUCACUUUAACACUGAGGCGUGACGACGAGGCACUACGGUGCUGAAGCAACAAAUGCCCUGCUUCCAGGAAAAGCCUCUAAGCAUCAGGUAACAUCAAAUCGUACCCCAAACCGACACAGGUGGUCAGGUAGAGAAUACCAAGGCGCUUGAGAGAACUCGGGUGAAGGAACUAGGCAAAAUGGUGCCGUAACUUCGGGAGAAGGCACGCUGACACGUAGGUGAAGUGAUUUACUCAUGGAGCUGAAGUCAGUCGAAGAUACCAGCUGGCUGCAACUGUUUAUUAAAAACACAGCACUGUGCAAACACGAAAGUGGACGUAUACGGUGUGACGCCUGCCCGGUGCCGGAAGGUUAAUUGAUGGGGUCAGCGCAAGCGAAGCUCCUGAUCGAAGCCCCGGUAAACGGCGGCCGUAACUAUAACGGUCCUAAGGUAGCGAAAUUCCUUGUCGGGUAAGUUCCGACCUGCACGAAUGGCGUAAUGAUGGCCAGGCUGUCUCCACCCGAGACUCAGUGAAAUUGAACUCGCUGUGAAGAUGCAGUGUACCCGCGGCAAGACGGAAAGACCCCGUGAACCUUUACUAUAGCUUGACACUGAACAUUGAGCCUUGAUGUGUAGGAUAGGUGGGAGGCUUUGAAGUGUGGACGCCAGUCUGCAUGGAGCCGACCUUGAAAUACCACCCUUUAAUGUUUGAUGUUCUAACGUGGACCCGUUACCCGGGUUGCGGACAGUGUCUGGUGGGUAGUUUGACUGGGGCGGUCUCCUCC
This 1486-nucleotide ribosomal RNA is filed under the name Salmonella enterica subsp. enterica serovar Enteritidis. RNAcentral describes it as "partial 23S ribosomal RNA". It matches the Rfam family "Bacterial large subunit ribosomal RNA", at positions 823 to 2290 of the family's 2925-position model. The record is from RNAcentral. Lineage: Bacteria; Pseudomonadati; Pseudomonadota; Gammaproteobacteria; Enterobacterales; Enterobacteriaceae.